RNAcentral lists this ribosomal RNA (465 nucleotides) under uncultured bacterium. RNAcentral's name for it is "bacterial SSU rRNA". It matches the Rfam family "Bacterial small subunit ribosomal RNA", at positions 338 to 795 of the family's 1533-position model. The record is from RNAcentral.
CCUACGGGUCGCAGCAGUGGGGAGUAUUGCACAAUGGGCGCAAGCCUGAUGCAGCCAUGCCGCGUGUAUGAAGAAGGCCUUCGGGUUGUAAAGUACUUUCAGCGAGGAGGAAGGCAUUAAGGUUAAUAACCUUAGUGAUUGACGUUACUCGCAGAAGAAGCACCGGCUAACUUCAUGCCAGCAGCCGCGGUAAUACGGAGGGUGCAAGCGUUAAUCGGAAUUACUGGGCGUAAAGCGCACGCAGGCGGUCUGUCAAGUCGGAUGUGAAAUCCCCGGGCUCAACCUGGGAACUGCAUUCGAAACUGGCAGGCUAGAGUCUUGUGGAGGGGGGUAGAAUUCCAGGUGUAGCGGUGAAAUGCGUAGAGAUCUGGAGGAAUACCGGUGGCGAAGGCGGCCUCCUGGACAAAGACUGACGCUCAGGUGCGAAAGCGUGGGGAGCAAACAGGAUUAGAUACCCCAGUAGUC